CCAUGUGGAUUUUGGGUGACGAAAUCGGUGACCUUCGCCAUAAAUACCAGCGGGGACAUUAAGGUCCUUGGUCUCCUUUAGGGCACGGUUAAUUACUAUUUUAGCUGUGAACCGGCCCUCGAUAUCCCAGCCGUCUUCACUAAACACGGCAUUCUGUUACUGAUUACCCGGUUUUACGAUUCGCUCAGUUUUUUCGCACCAAUGAUUUUUUCGGACAAAACCAUUGUGCUACGCACUUGGCAAAAACGGGGUUUUGUGUUCGAAAAUUAUAUGUUCGAAUGCUGUAAGUUCGAACGUCAAGAGUUCGAAAGAUUAUACACUAGAAAGAUAGUAUGUUCGAAAUUAUUGAAAAACAAAAACAAGAGGAAUUAUAAUAUUUAUUAAUUUAUCAUUUGUUUUAAAAUUAAAAUUUCAAAAUUNACUUGGCAAGAACGGGGUUAUGUGAUCGAAAAUUAUAUGUUCGAAUGCUGUAAGUUCGAACGUCAAGAGUUCGAAAGAUUAUACACUCGAAAUAUAGUAUGUUCGAAAUUAUUAAAAAACAAAAACAAUACGAAUUAUAAAAUUUAUUAAUUUAUCAUUUGUUUUAAAAUUAAAAUUUUAAAAAUUCAUACAAUUUAGUGUUAAUAAUUAAUGUAAAUGUUAAUAAAGAAACUCCUAAAAACUUGAAUUGUACGAUAUUCCUCGUACAAACUCAAUAAUACUGAAGCCUGUAUUUUUUAGUCUGAGAACUAAAUUUUUAAUUCUUUGUUCCCGUUUUUCUUUUCUUAUAUGUUCAGCCUUGAAUGAGUUGUUCUAUAGAGUUUUCAGUAUCAUUCUCAAUUUUUUUGAACUGUCUUAUCAACUUGUAAACCCCUGGUUGUUUCGAUACUAAUCUGUGAACAUUUUUUAAGGGUCAUGUUAGGUAAAUAAUUAAAUAACAAUUAUGUUGUUGACCAGAAGUGUGGAUUCCUGAUUAGGUUGAUUAAAUGUUUAGGAACUUCCAUUUCUUACAUGAUGGUCCAUAGUUUCUUUCAUCAAAAGCUUUAUUAUAAUCAAUGAAACACAAUACCAUGAGUUGAUUAAAUUCUCUAAUUUCUUCUAUGAGUUGGUGUAUGUUUAAAAUUUGUUCACCCUCUCCUUUAACCUUGACAAAUCCAGCUUGUUCUGGUGAUAUCUAACUACCUACGUAGUACUUCAGCCUUACAUGGAUGAUGUUCAGUAGGACUUUGGAAGCAUGCGAGAUUAGGGAGAUGGUGCGGUAGUUGUUGCAUUAUUUUUUAUGAAGUGGUUUAAAUAUGAAUUCCACCCAUUCUUUGGNUUAAAUUCUCUAAUUUCUUCUAUGAGUUGGUGUAUGUUUAAAAUUUGUUCACGCUCUCCUUUAACCUUGACAAAUCCAGCUUGUUCUGGUGAUAUCUAUUUACCUACGUAGUACUUCAGCCUCACACGGAUGAUGUUGAGUAGGACUUUGGAAGCAUGCGGGAUUAGGGAGAUGGUGCGGUAGUUAUUGCAUUAUUUUUUAUGAAGUGGUAUAAAUAUGAAUUCCACCCAUUCUUUGGGCCAUGAAUAGCUCAUCACCUUAGCUUGAAAUUCCUAGUGAGCAUCAUAAUUUCUUUGACUUAUUAACACAAGUAUAACAGGCAAAUAUAAGUUUUCCGUUAACCAUAUAAAAUUUCUAUGAAUAUUUGUAACUAAAUUACAAUGAAAAAGCUCUCUAGGAUAAUGGAGCAACUGUUAUAGGUAAUUUAAUGUAUACGUGUAAGCAAACAUUUUUAAUGAUAGAACGGUUCUGAACAGAAUUCAGUUGAUAGUGACGCUUUGUCAACAAUAUACAUGUUAAAUUAUGGUAAAAUAAUUAAAUAGGAAAGAUAUAUUAUCUUUAAUAAUAUUUGUUUAAUAUUGUACAGAUUUUCCUGUUUUUCCUACGGUUUCCUGAAUUUUUCCCAGUUUAUCACUUUGACUGGGAAAACUAUUGGAAUCAAGAAUGAGCUCGUUAAAAGACUUUCCUAGUCAAAUUUCCAUCCAUAAAAAGUGCUUUCAUUGUAAAUUUGAGCAAAAUUGCUGUUAAAAAAGUUGUCUUCAGAAAAAAUUCCGUAACUCAUUAACUACUUUAUUAAUAAUUUCACACAUUUUCCCGUUUUCCCUCCAUUUUUUUGUCUCGGUUUUUCACAUUUGAUGAGAAAACUUUUGAGAAAAUCAAAAAAUAUCUUCCUUAAAGUACCAUCCACCGAAAAUUAUAAUUUCCCUUCGAGAAAGGGUUUAUAUCGUAUAUAUCGGAGUAAGCUUUCUUUAAAAAAAAAAAAAAAAAUACAUCUUUGUAAAACCAUUACAUUCAUCGCUAUACUCAGAAUUUAAAAUUAUAAUGUUACCAAUUAUUAAUAUUUCUUUUUUUUCUCUUUUAACUCUAGGACUAGAUCAGCUAGAAAAAGGUAAGUUUUAUUUUAAAUAUUUCAUAUAGCCGUAUUCAGAAAGCCUAUAUAAUAAGUUAAUGGUGAAUUCAAUACUAUAUUACAUUUUCACUGAUUUCUAAUCUGAAAAAAAUGUUAACCCAUCUUCUUCUUAUUCAUUUGGCCCUUAAUACUCCUAAUAAUUUGAACCGCCAUCACUUAAUCUCUCCAUUUUUCUCGGUCCCUGGCUAAUUCUCUCUGUUCUUGAACUCCCAUUCUUUCCAGGUCUUCUUCCGCUGUGUCUAAUCAUCUUUUCCUUGGUCUAUCUNAAUUUUAUAUCGUAUAUAUCGGAGUAAACUUUCUUUUAAAAAAAAAAAAAAUACAUCUUUGUAAAACCAUUACAUUCAUCGCUAUACUCAAAACUUAAAAUUAUAAUGUUACCAAUAAUUAAUAUUUCUUUUUUUUCUCUUUUUACUCUAGGACUAGAUCAGCUUUUUCUAGCUUGAGGUAAGAUUUAUUUUAAAUAUUUCAUAUAGCCGUAUUCAGAAAGCCUAUAUAAUAAGUUAAUAGUGAAUUCAUUACUGCAUUACAUUUUCAUUGAUUUCUAAUCUGAAAAAAUGUUAACCCAUAUUCUUCUUAUUUAUUUGGCCCUUAAUACUCCUAAGAAUUUUAACUGCCAUAACUUAAUCUCUCCAUUUUUCUCGGUCCCGGGCUAAUUCUCUCUGUUCUUGCACUCCCAUUCUGUCCAGGUCUUCUUCCACUGUGUCUAGUCAUCUUUUCCUUGGUCUAUCUCGGGUUUCUUUACUGUUAGCUUUCAUUCCAGCACUGCUUUAUUAAUAUCAUCCUCAUUUCGCAGCCACACGUUUCAAGCCGUUUUUAUUUGUGAUUUUUUGUCCUCCUAUGAAGUUUACUACUAAAACCAUGUUUAUUUCUUCCUAUAACACCCUGUUAUAUUUUCUUCUCUAUGUUCCUUGUUCAUCAUCAUAUACCGGUCGUACUAAACCUAAUAAAUCAUUUUCCUUCCAAAUUGACAUGAUUUAGUUUCAAGUGUAAAACCCGUUUCAGUUUUCUGAUUUAGUUUUGUCCCAAGUUUAUGUACCUAAUCAUACCACAAUAUCCGUAUUGAGUUUAAACAUCAUCGGUGUACUGNUCCUCCUAUGAAGAUUACUACUAAAACCAUGUUUAUUUCUUCCUAUAACACCCUGUUAUAUUUUCUUCUCUAUGUUCCUUUUUCAUCAUCAUAUACCGGUCGUACUAAACAUAAUAAAUAAUUUUCCUUCCAAAUUGUCAUGAUUUAGUUUCAAGUGUAAAACAGGUUUCAGUUUUAUGAUUUAGUUUUGUCCCAAGAUUAUGUACCUAAUCAUACCACAAUAUCCGUAUUGAGUUUAAACAUCAUCGGUGUACUGUAUUGAAUUAUACUACUUUAAUGAGCUCCAUUUCAUAGUAUCAUGAUUGGGAAUAAUAUAAACUAUUAUAUUCCUAAAUCAUAUUAUUUGUCUAUAAAAUAAAUUCUUUACAUUUAUGAAUAUUAAAUAAUGUAUUAUUUAUAUAAUAAUAACUAUGGCCAAUCAAGAAGUCUGUGCGAAACUGCUCUGUUAUAGUCUUUGCAUUCCUUGAUAUUGUGACUGCACCUCUACACGUCACUGAAAACUGACCAUUGCCCACUUAGUUUAAAACAAUCUCGGCAUAAAUAAAAUUAGUUUACUAUCGAUAUCAAUAAAGCUCAUUAUAAGUAUCAUAUAAUAUAGAUGGGGCAUCUGAAACGAAAUAAUACUCAGAUAACCCAACCUAACCUAACAGAAUAAUGAUCUUUUUCUGUAUUAUAUAGGUACUAUAAAUAAUGUUAUUAUAAUUUAUAAAAAAUUAUAAAGAAACCUAUUAUUAAUAUUCUCUUUUUUUUUUUUUCUAGAACAAACAUCUCAAAAAUAACUACGUAGGUUGUUUUUUUAAAUAUUUCAUAGUCAUUAUAUAUUGUGUUUGUUGAUAUAAAGUUUCUCAACAAAUGUGAAAAAGCGAAAAAAAAAACUGAGGAAAAGAGGGAAAAUGUAUGAAAUAUAGGUAUUAGCUAAAAAUAUUAUGGCCUUCUUUUUUCUUGUGGGCAACUUUUCUGUCAGCAAUUUUCCGACAACUUAUAAUGAUAAAGAAGGAUAAAUCCUAAAAGGAAAUUUCAAUGGAAAGAUACUUAAAAUAAAUUUUUUUCCAAUUUUCUCAGAAGUUCCCAAUAAAUGUAAAAAACCGAAAAAAACGGAGGAAUACCAGAAAAACGGGAUCCAUUUUAAUUUUUAAAUUGGAAUAAUCGGAAUUUUACCAUAAUAUUACAUAUUAUUGUUGACAAAGCAGCACGCCUAGGCUACUGAAAAUUGGUAUAACAUUAAACAAAUAUUAAAUAAAACGUUUUUUUUUUUUUCGAAUCGUUUUUUCGUUAGCAAUGGUUUAUCAUUGCUUACAGGUGUACAUUAAAUUUCUUAAAACGGUGGCUGCGCCCGUCCCUAUUAUCCUANUUCUCAGAAGUUCUCAAUAAAUGUAAAAAACCGAAAAAAACCGAGGAAUACCGGAAAAACAGGAUCCACUUUUAAUUUGGAAUUUGGAAUAAUUAGAAUUUUACCAUAAUAUUACAUAUUAUUGAUAACAAAGCAGCACGCCUAGGCUACUGAAAAUUGGUAUAACAUAAAAUAAAUAUUAAAUAAAACCCAUUUAAUUAUUUUACUAUAAAAUGACAUAUAUAUUGUUGACAUAGCAUCAAUAUCAAUUGAACUCCGUUUAGAAUCGUUUUUUCGUUAGCAAUGGUUUAUCAUUGCUUACAGGUGUACAUUAAAUUUCAUAAAACGGUGGCUGUGCCCGUCCCUAUUAUCCUAGGGCGUCUUUUUAUUAUAUUCUUCGCCUAAUAAUUAACAUAAAAAUACAAUUUUAAAUAACAUAAAAGAAUAUCUACUUAUUAUUUAAUACUUUUUAUAAUAGAUGGCAUUCUAUAGGCAACAAUUGUAUCUUUGAUCGUGGUACCUUAAGCAAGUAUACUUUAAUUUGAUUCAUUAAAUAGACAAAAGGUUUNGUCUUUUUAUUAUAUUCUUCGCCUAAUAAUUAACAUAAAAAUACAAUUUUAAAUAACAUAAAAGAAUAUCUACUAAUUAUUUAAUACUUUUUAUAAUAGAUGACAAUCAAUAGGCAACAAUUGUGUCGUUGAUCGUGGUACCUUAAGCAAGUAUACUUUAAUUUGAUUCAUUAAAUAGACAAAAGGUUUUAGAAGUUUAAAUACAAAUAAAUUAUUGCACAAAUUAAUCAUAUGUUUUCGCUUUUUUUGUACCUACUGAUGAUUUUGUAAAACUAUAACCUGUGGUAAACACACACAACAUUAUACAAUAUUCUAGGCUUUUAUAAUGAUAUUUUAGAUUUUUUAUUUAGACAAAAUUUAUAUGUUGUAUAUAUAAUAUUAUCAUAAACCUCAUAACGUUAACAUUAUUUAACAGUGGUGUAUAUAGGAAAAGGCGCAGUGGGCCAUAGAACCUCUAGAAAUUUCUUUCAAGCACUUUUAAAAUUAACAGGAAUGUGACAUUUUUUUCCGUAAAUCGUCUAAAACAAGUUAAUCAUUUCCUAUAUUAUAUGUUUCAAAUUAAAUACUGAUCAGUGAUUACCCUGUUUAGUAAAAUAUUUUUUAAAGCCAGAGUUUUUGAAUUUCAUUUAUUAUCAUAAUAAUAAAGGUUUUACUAACGGUUAUCUAGAUAAAGGUGGUUUUACCUUAUCAUUAAGACAAAUUAGGUUAAGUUCGAAAACACAGGUAGGUGAUUGUAGCAGAUUGAUGUAAAUAGCACUGUUAAACAGAAACCCACACACAAUCUCUGUCUAUUUUCUCACAUUUGUCUACGAUCGAAACCUAAGUAUUUUCAUCUUCGUUUACACUCAUUCUCUGUUAUAUUUUCUAUACAAUUAGCAGUUACCAUAAUAUUUUUUUUUUUUUUUUUUUAAUCUAGUGCCACAUAGGAUCCAAAGUCUCGAAUUUAUUACAGAAAUAUUACAAUAUUAAAGUUUAAUUAUAUACAUUUCAUGAACCAUUAUGAACAUGGUAGUGUAAUAUGGUAUUUACUAUUUCGCCUAUCGAAUUUUAUUUACUAAUUUAUUAUUAACGAUUACAAUAAUAUUACUGUUACAUUUUUUUCAUAAUAUUUUAAGUACAUUAUCUAUAACAUUUAUUAUUGUACUAUUACAUAUUAAAUAUCAUCUAUCUUAUAAGUUUAAUGAUAUUAAAUGCGAUUGAUAAUACAAAACGUUUAAUUUUAUUGAUCUAUCACAAAUUUACAAUUUAUU
This is a non-coding RNA of Cinara cedri, 6662 nucleotides long. The record is from the annotation of a GenBank genome assembly. Lineage: Eukaryota; Metazoa; Arthropoda; Insecta; Hemiptera; Aphididae.